RNAcentral lists this transfer RNA (74 nucleotides) under bacterium. RNAcentral's name for it is "tRNA-Met". It matches the Rfam family "tRNA". From Rfam's summary of the family: Transfer RNA (tRNA) molecules are approximately 80 nucleotides in length. Their secondary structure includes four short double-helical elements and three loops (D, anti-codon, and T loops). The record is from RNAcentral.
CGCGGGUAGGACAACCGGUAAGUUGCCGGCCUCAUAAGCCGGAGAAGAGGGUCCGAUUCCCUCACCCGCCACCA